This is a small nuclear RNA of Diceros bicornis minor, 107 nucleotides long. The record is from RefSeq and is a predicted model, not a curated record. NCBI's taxonomy places the organism in Eukaryota, Metazoa, Chordata, Mammalia, Perissodactyla, Rhinocerotidae.
GUGCUCACUUCAGCAGUACAUAUAAUAAAAUUGGAACGACACAGAGAGGAUUAGCUUGGCUCCUGAGCAAGGAUGACACGCAAAUUUGUGAAAGGUUCCAUAUUUAA